Molecule: small RNA, 186 nt
Filed under: Paenibacillus sp.
Lineage: Bacteria; Bacillati; Bacillota; Bacilli; Caryophanales; Paenibacillaceae
Description: c-di-AMP sequence
Rfam family: c-di-AMP riboswitch aptamer (ydaO/yuaA leader)
About the family: This family represents a conserved RNA structure found upstream of the ydaO and yuaA genes in Bacillus subtilis and related genes in other bacteria. The ydaO/yuaA element is thought to act as a genetic "off" switch for the ydaO and yuaA genes in its native state.
Source: RNAcentral
CUGUCUUUAUCGCUUAAUCCCUUUUACGGGGGAACGGGGGAACCAAUCGGACAGCCGGCUGUUAAGCGCAGCCAGCCAAUCCACGGGGUGAAUCGCCGGCUCAGCUCCAUCUGAGCAUGUCGGCGUAGGGCGACUCUUACGCCCGAAUCCGUCAGCUAACUUCGUCAGCGUACCAAGAGAGGCAAC